AAAAAGAUUAGAUACAAAAUUGUUUGUAGCGAACAUUAGUUCUCAAAAGCAUAACCAUUACAAAUAUUUUAACGAAAUGGUCUACAAAUCAUCAUACAAGCUUGUUCGAAUAGCAACUUAGAUAACCAGAACUACAACAUAACCUCAAGUUUCAUAACAGUGUAACUUGUCACAAAAAGCUUGGAUAAAUUAUUUAAUCAUCUAAAGUGCUCUGUCAAAAUUCUCCUCGAUGAUCCAUGUCUCUUCAUAUAACCCAUCAAGUUUAACUCAACGUGAUUAAAUAGCAACCUCCAGCAUCACCUUGCCACGGCUGCAACCUAAGUUUUCCUUGUUACUGCAGCAAAUGAAAUAGCAUAAAUGCUUAAUGAAGACAGGCAAAAUCCAACACAUGCGUAUUGAAUACAACACUCAUCAACCCUGGAAAAAACUAAGAGAAUCCAAUGUACACAUCUUGAUAUCCGAGUUAGUUAAGUUCACAUUUGGCAACAUGUAGCUGCGCAGGGCACAAUUACCAACACAUUGAUUACAGUAUUGGUAAGCUGCAAAUGAAAGGAGUCACCAAUGCAAGAGGCAGUGGGAUGCAAAACUUGACAUGGACAGAGGAUACCAAGAGAGAAUUGAAGUACCAAAAUAUCAGCAAAGAGUUCUUGCUGCUUCUAGUGGGGUUCAAACUUCAAAGCUUGCGGAUCCCAACUUUCUUCACACUACAAGGCUUUAUUGUUGUUUUUUCUUUUCUUUGAAGGGUCA
This 747-nucleotide long non-coding RNA is filed under the name Oryza brachyantha (malo sina). RNAcentral describes it as "long non-coding RNA (OBRA_LNC000991)". Lineage: Eukaryota; Viridiplantae; Streptophyta; Magnoliopsida; Poales; Poaceae. The record is from RNAcentral.